Molecule: ribosomal RNA, 301 nt
Filed under: uncultured bacterium
Lineage: Bacteria
Description: partial 16S ribosomal RNA
Rfam family: Bacterial small subunit ribosomal RNA
Source: RNAcentral
CAGUCGCCACGGGAAUACGUAGGGUGCGAGCGUUAAUCGGAAUUACUGGGCGUAAAGCGUGCGCAGGCGGUUCGUUAAGACAGAUGUGAAAUCCCCGGGGCUCAACCUCGGAAUUGCCUUCAAUACUGGCGAUCUUGAGUAUGGAAGAGGUAUGUGGAACUCCGAGUGUAGAGGUGAAAUUCGUAGAUAUUCGGAAGAACACCAGUGGCGAAGGCGACAUACUGGUCCAUUACUGACGCUGAGGCUCGAAAGCGUGGGGAGCAAACAGGAUUAGAUACCCGAGUAGUCCCUGUCUCUUAUA